RNAcentral lists this ribosomal RNA (169 nucleotides) under uncultured bacterium. RNAcentral's name for it is "partial 16S ribosomal RNA". It matches the Rfam family "Bacterial small subunit ribosomal RNA", at positions 338 to 524 of the family's 1533-position model. The record is from RNAcentral.
CCUACGGGAGGCAGCAGUGGGGAAUAUUGGACAAUGGGCGCAAGCCUGAUCCAGCCAUGCCGCGUGAGUGAUGAAGGCCUUAGGGUUGUAAAGCUCUUUUGUCCGGGACGAUAAUGUCGGUACCGGAAGAAUAAGCCCCGGCUAACUUCGUGCCAGCAGCCGCGGUAAU